CGGCGGACGGGUGAGUAACGCGUGGGUAACCUGCCUCAUACAGGGGGAUAACAGUCGGAAACGGCUGCUAAUACCGCAUAAGCGCACAGUACCGCAUGGUACGGUGUGAAAAACUCCGGUGGUAUGAGAUGGACCCGCGUCUGAUUAGGUAGUUGGUGGGGUAACGGCCUACCAAGCCGACGAUCAGUAGCCGACCUGAGAGGGUGACCGGCCACAUUGGGACUGAGACACGGCCCAA
Molecule: ribosomal RNA, 238 nt
Filed under: uncultured bacterium
Lineage: Bacteria
Description: partial 16S ribosomal RNA
Rfam family: Bacterial small subunit ribosomal RNA
Source: RNAcentral